This is a non-coding RNA of Oryza barthii, 196 nucleotides long. NCBI's taxonomy places the organism in Eukaryota, Viridiplantae, Streptophyta, Magnoliopsida, Poales, Poaceae. The record is from Rfam.
AAAAAGACAAACUUUAGGUUCCCGUGCUAACUUUUGACUGUCCGUCUUAUAUGAAAAACUUUUAUAAUUAGUAUUUUCAUUGUUGUUAGAUAAUAAAACAUGAUUAAUAUUUUAUGCGUAACUUAUCUUUUUAAUUUUUUUCAUAAUUUUUUUAAAUAAGACGGAUGGUGACACGGAAAUCAGGGUUUAUCUUUUU